RNAcentral lists this ribosomal RNA (432 nucleotides) under Helcococcus sp. canine oral taxon 069. Its description in RNAcentral is "bacterial SSU rRNA". It matches the Rfam family "Bacterial small subunit ribosomal RNA", at positions 9 to 451 of the family's 1533-position model. The record is from RNAcentral. Lineage: Bacteria; Bacillati; Bacillota; Tissierellia; Tissierellales; Peptoniphilaceae.
GAGUUUGAUUCUGGCUCAGGACAAACGCUGGCGGCGUGCAUAACACAUGCAAGUCGAACGAAAUCUACAUGAUUUAGUGGCGAACGGGUGAGUAACACGUGAGAAACCUGCCUUACACAGAGGGAUAGCCGUUGGAAACGACGAUUAAUACCUCAUGACACCGUGACAUCGCAUGAUGAUGCGGUCAAAGAUUUAUCGGUGUAAGAUGGUCUCGCGCCUGAUUAGCUGGUUGGUGGGGUAACGGCCUACCAAGGCGACGAUCAGUAGCCGAUCUGAGAGGGUGGACGGCCACAUUGGGACUGAGACACGGCCCAAACUCCUACGGGAGGCAGCAGUGGGGAAUUUUGCACAAUGGGGGAAACCCUGAUGCAGCGACGCNGNGUGAACGAAGAAGGCCUUCGGGUUGUAAAGUUCUGUCCUUGGUGAAGAUGA